Non-coding RNA from Xyrichtys novacula (pearly razorfish), 1006 nucleotides. NCBI's taxonomy places the organism in Eukaryota, Metazoa, Chordata, Actinopteri, Labriformes, Labridae. The record is from the annotation of a GenBank genome assembly.
UGCUGUGAGCACUGGCCCAUGGGGACCUUUUUUAUGCUGCUGCUGUGCACAGCGGCUGCAGAUUGUAACCUGAUGUGCCCCUGCUAGUGAGUCAUGCGAGGUAAAAAAAGGACUUUUUUUUGUUUGUGUAAGAGAAGCACAGUAGAAAGCAACAGCCAGACCACUGAGUGUUUCUUUCAUAAUGUGGUAAUCAACUUAACCACUGAAACUCACUGAGAGCAUCCAUGGCAUCCAGUCCCACUAGGUGCACAUUAGGCUGAGCCUGGUGGAGAUAUUGAUUGAGCCUGCAGGGGUUUUAUAUCGACUACAAACACAUCAUCACAAAGUCAUUUGUGCAAUUAAGGUGUGCACUUGAUACAAGUAUUACCGUCAUUGCUUCAUGUGCAAGACUGGACAGACGAUUUGUGUCUGUAUUAGUUAUGAUGAAUCACGAUUAUUUUGCUUCUAUCUGUGGAAUUUUGUAAAGUAAAUAUCGAACUCAUGAAGAGUUAUAAAGCUAUUUUUAACCUUCGCUGAUAGUUAUUAUCGAUUCCCCUGCACAUGCAAUCCCGGAAAGGACCAACAAAAGAUUUAUCAACGAUGUCCCAUAAAAGUCCUGAAUGCUUUGAUUUGUUAUCAUUGAACAUUUCGCCUUAAAGCUGCAAGGGGAAUAAAUAAACACAAUCAAUGCUCGAGAGGCUUUAGUGGUACAGAGGGAUGUAGACGCCAUAUGUGCCCGUUGUUCGGAAAGGUUAGGUUUCAAAACAUAGUAAAGAAGUAAGAGUCAAGAUGACCCACGCAGUCAUCAAAAUGAAUCAGCACAGUCGGAAACACAUCUAACAAAAGAUCGCUGACGAUGGUUUACGUGUGUUAUUUCGUUGCCAUCUAUAGACCAAGGAAAGGGUGAAGCAGCAAAACCUCUGAUUGUAUUGAUCCAAACAAGGGUGUGUUUCACUUGUCAUUUAGGACAAGUCAUUUGUUUGAAGCUCUAUCAGGUAACUUGAAAUGUAUGAAUUUUCCCUUUUGU